CUAUGCUACAUUUCUGAUGUUUUUGGAUGAAAUUAACAACACUGAUGUCUCUGACACUGGAGCCAAAGCACAUGGAUUCCUAACUCAUCUUAAAAGAACGCUCAUUCUCCGGUCUCAGGAGACUUAAGAACUAUCUAUACUCAUCAAUGGGACAAGUGAGGCUGAAUCAUGUUGUUGUCCUUAAUGUUCAUCAAGACCUCCGGAACAUAAAUAAGAUUGCUGACAACUUCAUCCAGGGGGCAUACAGUGAGAAGUAAUUGGACAUUAAUGAAGACCAUGUUUUGAGUUUUAAUCAUCAGAGGGGGAAGAGACUGGCGAGUGUGCUGUAUUACUUUUGGAUCCAGCUGCGAGGUCUGACCCGUGACAGACGAGCAAGAGCGAGGACCUCUGUAUCCUAUUGUUGUAAACGACUUAGAAGCACUGCAGUCCUGUUUACUUUUUUAUUGACAGUUUAUUGUGCUGGCUUUUAAAUGUACAAUAUUUUAAAUAGUAUUGUAGCAAUUCAUUGGUGACCUCAAGGUUUGAGUGCUGCCCAUUGAGGGAAGGUCUGGUGGUGCCCUUAGAGGCCAGGAGAAGGGAGAUUUGAUUAAUUAUUCUAAAUUGGGGUAGCCGGAACGCUGGGUGAGAACAGCAAUAUCACCACUCUUGUCCCCGUUGGCAGACGGUAAGGUAAUGACGUCAAAGCAGUUGAUAUAUGGAUUGUUAAUUGUGGUUGUGCUGAAGGAACUCAUCACCCAUAAAAUACCUCUAUGAAAACCCUCAUGACAACUUUUAAAGACUGUUUGUUUUAAAUAGAAAAAUGGACUCAUUUAUU
Acipenser ruthenus (sterlet) is the source of this 814-nucleotide long non-coding RNA. RefSeq lists it as uncharacterized. The transcript has 3 exons. Lineage: Eukaryota; Metazoa; Chordata; Actinopteri; Acipenseriformes; Acipenseridae. The record is from RefSeq and is a predicted model, not a curated record.